UUUCACUUCACGAUUGUGUCCCAAUUGUUGUUGAUUCUUGACAAAAAAAUAAAAUUUUAUAUCUUUAUGUUUGAAGCCUGAAAUGUGGCGAAAGGUUGAAAAGUUCAAGGGGGCCGAAUAUUUUCACAAGGCACUGUAUGUACCGACCAGGAAAGUACGGUGUUUCUCUUACCGCAAACCGCAGAACUGAAGGUGUCACGAACGGUGGUUGGAAACCGGUGCAAGAACUCAGGUCUACAGAGGGAGAGAGUUUAGGGAUUUUAUUGUGAGGAAGGGAGUGGUUUGUGGAGGUUGGGUUGUCUGGGGCGCAGGGCUUGGGUCGUGGUGGUGAUGGGGUGAAGAUUUCUUUAUGGCUGGGGUUUGAGGUUGGUCUUCGGCUGUGGUCUUCUCUUGGCUGUGAUUCUUGGUUUGGUCUUGGCUGUAGACUUCACUUAGCUGUGGAGGUUUGGUCUUGGCUGUAGACUUCACUUAGCUGUGGAGGUUUGGUCUUGGCUGUAGACUUCACUUGGCUGUGGUUCUGGGCUUUGGUCUCGGCUGUGGUCCCCUCCUGGUGGUGAAUCUCGGCUGGGUUCUGGCUGUGGAUGGCUGAGGGGUGAUCUAGGAAUCCGUUGUGCUGAGCAGAAUGAACUGUAGUAGAAGACAAAGGUAGAAGAGGUUUACUGUUCAGAGAAUUCAAAUCUGACCUCAGAGUUCUAGGCAAAAAUAGCGAAACUUGACUUGGUCGGCUGGAGAGUCACUAACUUGGUAGUCAUAUAACAAUCCGGCAUCGAAUGAGUGUCUGAACCGGCUUUUUAUUGUCAGAGAUGUGUGAUGAUGAAUCGGAGACAGCUGCUCAGCCAGAGCUGCACCCUUGAUGAGGAGAGUGGCCUCAGCUGAAGCUGAAGCCACUCUGACCUACUUAGGAGAGCGAGAGAGAGAGAGAGAGAGAGAGAGAGAGAGAUGGACCAAAGCACAGCAUAGACAACAGGAACAUGGCACCAAACAAAGCCUGGCAUGGCACAUAAUAAAAUAAGGCAGCAGACAAAAACCUGACCAGGCAGGACGAGAGUCAUGACAGAAGGUCCUGCUGAAGGAGAAGAGGAGGGUUUUUGGAUCUGGGGAAAAAGAGGUGCUGAGCAGGGUGCAGAAGGAGAUAAAGAAGAAGAUCAAGGCAGACAAGGCCAGCUACAGGACCAAGAUGGAAUCUCACCUGGAGAACAAUAACACAAGGGAGGUCUGGAGAGACCUGAGAUCCAUCUCUGGUUACAGCAGAGACCAUGAGAGGGGAGCUGCAGCAGGAGACCGGGAGUGGGCCAACGAGCUGAAUCUGUCCUUUAACAGAUUUGAUUCUACUCCUACUUCUCCCCCUCUCAUCAAAGCACUGACCAGCCAGCUCCUUCUUCACACCUCAGUUCUAUACCACCACCACCACCACCCCUCCUCCUCUCCCCAUCCUCCACCACGUCCAGACUCCACAUACAGCCCCAUCACCCUUCUUCAUCUCAUCCCUCACCACCACCAUCACCCCUCCCCCGUCACCCUCCUCCACCACCCCCGGCCUCUCCAUAGCAGCUGAUCAGGUGAGAAGUGAGCUUUAAAAGAUCAAGACCAGAAAGGUCGAAGGUCCUGAUGGAAUCAGCUCCAGCCUCCUUAGAGACUGUGCAGACCAGCUCUGUCAGGUGCUGCUGCACAUCUUUAACCUGAGUCUGAAGAGGGUUCCAGUGUUAUGGAAGACUUCCUGCCUGGUUCCUGUCUUAAAGACCAGGAAACCCCAGGGAUCCUAACCACUUCAGACCUGUGGCUCUCACUUCGCAUUUGAUGAAGACCAUGGAGAGGAUCGUCCUCAAGAACCUCCAUCCCCAGGUGAGCCAACAUCUGGAUCCACUGCAGUUCGCAUACCAACCGAACAUUGGAGUGGACGAUGCAGUCUUCUAUCUGCUGCACAGAUCGCUGACUCACCUGGAGAACAUCGGCAGCACUGUGAGGGUCAUGUCCUUUGACUUCUCCAGUGCUUUCAACACAAUCCAGCCUUCUCUGCUCAGGGUGGAGCUCGAAGGAGCGGGAGUAGACUGUCACCUGGCUGCUUGGACCAUCGACUACCUCACCAACAGACCACAGUACGUGAGACUUCAGGACUGUGUGUCUGAUGUGGUAGUCAGCAGUACUGGGGCCCCACAGGGGACAGUGCUCUCCCCCUUUCUCUUCACCCUGUACAAAUCCGACUUCCACUACAACUUUGGGAGCUGUCACCUCCAGAAGUUCUCCGAUGAUACAGCCAUUGUCAGGUGUCCAAAGUUGUUUCAAUCAAUCCACUGGACUUUAAGAAAGUUCCUUGAAGAUGUUUCACCUCUCAUCCAAGAGGCUUCUUCAGUUCUGGUGGUGGUUGGUGUUGCCUCAGCUGUUAAACCUCUGUGAAGUGUGGUCAGGGCUAUUAUUGUUCCAACAACCAUUACCAAGACCCGUCUGACUACUCAACGAUGUUCUUUGGGAGUAUCGGUGGGUGUCGUUGAAAUGCACAGAUGUCACUAAGCCCUCGUAUGCUAAUGGUGGUCAUUAGGAUGAGUGAAUCUGCUGAGUAGUUCUUUUGGGGAGUUUUGAAAGGACCUGAUUGUAAAUUGGCGAAAGAUGAUGUCGCAGACACCCCCCCCCCCACAUUCAGAGAUGGCUUCUCUACUCUGACAUGGAUGGCUUCUUUCACUCCUCUCUUAAACCAUUUGUCCUCCCUGUCCAAAAUCUGAAUAUUGGUGUCCUGAAAUGAGUGUCCCUCUUCCUUAAGGUGAAGGAAGACUGCUGAAUCCUGUCCUGAGGAAUUGGCUCUCCUGUGUUGAGCCAUGCACUUGUUAAGUGACUGUUUGGUUUCCCCUAUGUAGAGAUCUGAGCAUUCCUCACUGCAUUUAACUGCAUACACCAGGUUGCUCUUCUGGCUGUGUGGUGUGGGGUCUUUUGGGUGGACCAGUCUUUGCCUGAGGGUGUUAUUUGGCUUAAAAAAGACAGGGAUCUGGUGUUUGUUGAAAAUCCUCCUCAGUUUUUCAGACACUCCAGACACAUACGGGAUCACUAUGUUGUUGCGCCUGCUCUCCUUCUCUUCUGUCUUCACUGGGUUGUUCUCCUUUCUGGAUCUUGUGUGAGCCUUCACAAAGGUCCUGUCAGGAUAUCCACAAGUUUUCAGUGCCCCUUUCAGGUGUUUGUGUUCUUUUUCCUGGCCUUGGGUACUUGUGGGUAACUUGUCAGCCCUGUGUUGCACGGUCCUCAUGACUCCUAGCUUGUGCUCCAGUUGAUGGUGAGAGUCAAAAAGCAGGUACUGGUCCAUGUUUGUUGGUUUCCUGUAUACCCCAACACUCAGACUUCUGUCCUCUUCUAUGCAGACCCCACAAUCCAAAAAGGGCAAAAUAUUGUCCUUUACAUCCUCUCUGGUGAACUUGAUGUUGUUGUCCACAGAGUUGAUGUGUUCGGUGAAAGUUUGCACCUCAUAGAUUCUGAUCUUGACCUAUGUGUCGUCCACGUAUCGGAACAGCUGUUGUGAGAGCCAAAAUAAUCCACCUUUUUUCAAAAUAUGAAAAGUCAUUGUCCUGAAGCUCCAUGGUCAAUCCCAACUUAGACAGUUUUACAGAUGAAACUUUUUGAAACUUUGAAACUUUUGUGCAGGACUUCAAAUAUAAUCUGCUGGAUGUUGUUUAACCAAUCUUUAAAUGCGGGACAUGUCCAGAGAAUAUGGAGUAUAGAGGCACCAUUUCCACCGCAUUUCCAUCAAGAGUCUGCUGGUAUCACGUUGCAUUUGUGAUGUUGUUCUGGUGUCCGAUGCCAUCUGUGUAUUAUUUUUAGUUGAAUUAACCUAUUACCCAUUUCUUUGUACAUUGUGUUGAUAUUCUUUCAACAUGAUUCCCAAUCCUCAGGAGGAUAUGUCCACCUCCAUAUCCCCUGCCCAGUGUUUCUUGACUAAAGGGUCACUUAGUUGUUCCUAUAACAGAUUGUUGAUCUUACAGGUAAUGCCCCUGAGCUUGAUUUAGUCAGCAGCUCUUCAAUUGGGCUACCCAUAGGGCAGGUAAGCUGGCCUCCUAACCAUUUAGCCAGGGCACUUCGUAUGUGGACAGACCUCCAGUACUGAUUAUGUGGCAAUUUAUAUCUAUCCAUUACUUGGUUAAAACUUAAGAACUGUUUGGUAUUGCUGUCGAAUAAAUGUAAAAUAUAGAUUUUCCCUGUCUUUUUACAAAUAGUCCAGUUAACUGUUUUUUCUCCAAUUAGAAUUCGCUUAUUAUUCCAUAGAGGUGCAUGAGGGUAUCUGAAGAAGUCCCAACGGCCUGCUUUAUGUAGUUUAUGCCACAUUAAUUUAAUGUUGGCAAUAAUGGGGUUAUCAUUCUGUAAUGGUAGUUUUGUGCCAAACAACUCAGACCAAGGGGAUAGCCCUCCACUAGCUUCAGCCUCUAUUUGGAACCAACUUGGCCUAUCUUCUACCUUGUCACUAGGUAGCCAUGUCCUUAUGUGCUUCAUAUUAAAAGCCCAGCAGUACCAUCUAAAACUAGGAAGUGAGAAUCCCCCUCUCUUUGUGUGGGCCUGUAGUUUCCCUACCCCAGAGAAAGUCUAAAAUGAGAGUGUCAAGAUUCUUAAAGUGGGACUCUGGGAUAUUCAGAGGAAGUUGAGAUACCAUUUAAUAGAUCACAGGUGCAGUCAUCAUUUUAAUGGAGUUUAUUUUUCCCCCAGAGUGAAAGAUGGAUUUUAGUCCACCUACUAAAGUCUGAUUUCAUUUUCUGAAGCAAUGAGUUGAUUUUUCUCUCAGACUAUAUCUUUAUAAGCUGGAGUUAUUUGAAUGCCCAAAUAUUUGAUGCCUUUCAAAGCCCAGCGAAAUUUCCACUGGUGGAAGAGGGUAUGGGCAGUAACCUGAUAUAGGCAUGGCCUCAGACUUGUCCCAAUUAAUGCGAUAUCCAGAUAAUAGCAUGAACUCCUCAAUACAGUUUAAUAAUGUGGGUAUGGAUUUUUCUGGUUGCGUUAGUAGCACUAACAUGUCAUCUACAUACAGUAAAAAUUUGUGAUGUACACUGCCCACUAUGAUCCCGUGUAUAUCUAAAUGGUUCCUCAAUUUCUGUGCUAAAGGCUCCAAGGCAAGCACGAACAAGCAUGGACUCAAGGGACAGCCCUGUCUCGUGGACCUAUACAGUUGGAAUGGAUUAGAUAUAAGACCAUUUGUUAAAACACGGGCAUAGGGGGUAUCAUAUAAGGUUUUGAUCCAUGUUAUAAAAUUUUGUCCUAAACCAAAUCUUCUGAGUGUUUCAAAAAGAUAACUCCACUCUACACAGUCAAAUGCCUAGCAUCGUCUAGUGACAAAGCAAUUGUUGGAUGGGUGGAGUCAUAUGCUAAAUACUGUAAAUUGAUCAGUCGCCUAAUAUUAUCAGAGCUAUAACGAUUUGGGAUGAAACCUGAUUGAUCGAUGUAAAUUACACUCCCAAUGACUUUUUUCGUAUUAUUUUUAUUAAUGGAUUAGCAAUAACAAAAAGAAAACAAUCAUAUCUCCCACCCCAUACUCAAUCCCACACUCCCCCCUACAAAACAAAACCAAAAAACCCAACAUAGAAACCAAUACGCCCACACACGCACUUCUGACUGAUGAGGAGAGGUUCAGAUUAAAAAAAAAAGGGAAUUCAUAAUUUCAUAAUACCUCUUGACAAGGGCACAACAAUAAGCCUUCCAUGACAAUUGUAGCAUAACCACUGAAGUGAUUAUAUUUGCACUUGUUAAAAUAAAGGGGCACCACUUCAGUUUACCUGAGGAAAAUUAUCAAUUUAAGUAAGAAUCUCAAGGAGACUCGAAUUGAGAUAUAAUUGGUCAGUCUGAUAUCUGGAAGUCUAGAAUUCUCAGUUGAAAUUGACCUCAAUUCUCACACACAGAAAAUGCACAAGACCAUGGAUUGGUCUAAAUGAAAAUAUUUAUUAACUAUCCUACCAAAACAAUAUAGGUGAGCUAUAUGCAAUGAAAAAUGCAAUAUGUGUGUACGUGCGUGUGUGUGUAUGUAUGGGUGUGAGCGUGUGAGUUUGUGUAUGUAGGUGUGUGUGUGUGUGAAUCAGAUUCAAAUCAGCAUAUUAAACCCAGAUAGCAAAAUUCUUCUGGCCCAUAUCUGGCCCACAUUCCGUUUGGAAUGAUGGCACUUGGGCGGUCCACUCUUGUUUGCCACAAGUGGGCCAAAACCAAGCCAUCACAUUGCCGGAUGUAAACCAGAAGCAUACCAAAUGACCCAGCACUCAACCAGACAUGGGCCACUGUACAUCUUCUUUCUGGCCCAUAUCUGGCCCAAACCUGGCACGUUCAUCUGGCCCACAUUCCGUUUGGAAUGAUGGCACUUGGGCGGUCCACUCUUGUUUGCCACAAGUGGGCCAAAACCAAGCCAUCACGUUGCCGGAUGUAAACCAGAAGCAUACCAAAUGACCCAGCACUCAACCAGACAUGGGCCACUGUACAUCUUCUUUCUGGCCCAUAUCUGGCCCAAACCUGGCACGUUCAUCUGGCCCACAUUCCGUCUGGAAUGAUGGCACUUGGGCGGUCCACUCUUGUUUGCCACAAGUGGGCCGAAACCAAGCCAUCACAUUGCCAGAUGUAAACCAGAAGCAUACCAAAUGACCCAGCACUCAACCAGACAUGGGCCACUGUACAUCUUCUUUCUGGCCCAAACUUGACACGUUCAUCUGGCCCACAUUCCAUUUGGUAUGAUGGCACUAGGGCGGUCCACUCUUGUUUGCCACAAGUUGGCCAAAACCAAGCCAUCACAUUGCCAGAUGUAAACCAGAAGCAUACUAAAUGACCCAGCACUCCACCAGACAUGGGCCACUGUACAUCUUCUUUCUGGCCCAUAUCUGGGCCACAUUCCACGUUCAUCCGGCCCACAUUUCGUAUGGAAUGAUGGCACUUGGGCGGUCCACUGUUGAUAGCCAAAGUGGGCCAAAAAGAAGCCAUCACAUUGCCAGAUGUAAACCCAAAAGCAUACCAAAUUACCAAAACCUCGACCUGAUUUGGGCCAUUGUACAUUUGUAUUCUGGCCCACACUAAGAAUUUGGUCCACAUACCACACUGAAUAAUGGCACUUGGGUGUUAACACUUGCCUAGCCAUGAUGCUACAUAUCAACAGCUGGCCAACUCAUCCAAAUUAAAGACAAUUAGCUCUUAGUUUCAGCCAUAACUGGAACACAUUCUAUGACCUUGUCUAACCUGCACACCUCAUGAGUCACAAUUAAACCAUUACAAUGUUUUAUGUCAAAUAUAAACGAAUAGAAUAAAUCCGAACUGGUAUGAAUUUGUGGCUAUAUGCCAUUAAGUUACCCUCAGACAGAGUGUGAAUGCCGGCUUGUCAGUGGUUGCAUCUUGUUGGGACACAUCAGGGGGUCUAAGAUGCUGCAUCAAUGACGAAGAAACCUACUGAAGAACUGAAGAAAUUAUCAAACUCAAGAAACAACUGGUGACAGUAGAGGACAACAAUUUUUAUUUAUUUUUAUUCUAAAAGUAAAACAGUUCAAACAAAGUCAGUGGAGUGAACUGAAAAAAAUAUGAACUAUAAAAGCACAAACAAACAUGAAACAGUAAUAAACAGUAAUAACAUGAAACAAUAGAAGACUGGACCAAUUAAAAGGAAAAAAUGACUCCUCAUCUGGCUCGUCUUCUCUUGGUGUUGGCCCUUUAAAAAGAAAAAAACAAGAAGUUCACACUUUGACACUGUUCAGCAGUACUAUGGCUAUUAAACAUGGUGGCAGUGAAGUACAAAAUAAACAUAUCAGGACACCAAGCAAAAAAGCCCCUGAAGAAUAAUAUAAACAUUCUACAAUACUGUAUUGAUGUUUUUCAAAAAAAAUCCAUAGCUUGUUUUAAAUUACAAUUAAUCUGCAGCUAUAGUAAAUAUUAUGUCUGCUAUAUCAUGUUAUAUCAGAUUGUCUGAUUUACAGGGGUAGAUGGUGAUUAAUUUCUAAUAUUAUGCCAAAGUAAGCACUAUACUCUAUAAGAAUAUGGCCAAGGCUGUCAGUUGGAAGCAAAUCCAUCUCAUGGCAUGAAGAGAGCAAUUCACCCACGACGUCAUAAAAAUAUUCCAUAACUGAGGCAGUUCUGUUCAGUUCUUAUUUUGUCCAGUUCUUAUUUUGUCCACUAUUGUCUUAUAUUGUCUGACUUUCUCUGCCAGUACUUUGAAUGUUUAAUGGUUAAUGUUCAAUAAAGGCAUGAAAUACUGGUAUAACAA
Molecule: long non-coding RNA, 8185 nt
Organism: Acanthochromis polyacanthus (spiny chromis)
Lineage: Eukaryota; Metazoa; Chordata; Actinopteri; Pomacentridae
Exons: 2
Source: RefSeq, a predicted model, not a curated record